This 594-nucleotide long non-coding RNA is filed under the name Homo sapiens (human). Its description in RNAcentral is "HSALNT0389152". Lineage: Eukaryota; Metazoa; Chordata; Mammalia; Primates; Hominidae. The record is from RNAcentral.
GAAGAAAAAAAGAGAAAACAACAACAACAAAAAAGAGUCUGGAUGUCUUGAUGAGUUCCUAAGUAGAAAUGACAGAGAAGAGGAACUGAAAAAGGAAGUCAUGGGCCAAGAGUGGAGUAUUACAAUUUCAGACUUCUAGUAUGGAGCAGCACAGUUACGGGUGUGGACAAGUGAAUGUCUUGGAGUAGAAGGCAAAGAACAUUUUUGCAUGGAACAUGGCCACACCAUACCUUGGUGUGAUCUCAGGUUGAGGCUGAGCUAAAGUUAAUCUGUUGUAACAUUCUGGAUGUACUGGACAAACACCUCAUUCCAGCAGCUAACACUGGCGAGUCCAAGAUAUAAGCUGGAGAAAAGUAAGUUCACCUGGAUGGAGGAGAUGAGAGGGUAGACUUGGAGCUCAGCAAGACCUAGAACUGCUCAAGUGACACCAAAGGGGACAGGAAGGGGAGGUGAUCUCCUUUGGAGGAUUUGGAGGAAAUAUUUUGGGGCUGAAAGAAACAUCCCAAAUAAUCCUCACAAGAGUCCGAUGAGAAGAGAGCCAGAGACAAGGAAACUGAUGUUCAGAGAGGACCAGAGACCCCCCACAAAGCCACA